GACGUGUAGUGGUAACAUGCUCCCCUCAUACAUUGGGAGCGUCUGGGGUUCGAUUCCCUGCUUGUCG
Molecule: non-coding RNA, 67 nt
Organism: Mycena maculata
Lineage: Eukaryota; Fungi; Basidiomycota; Agaricomycetes; Agaricales; Mycenaceae
Source: the annotation of a GenBank genome assembly